RNAcentral lists this transfer RNA (73 nucleotides) under Bos taurus (domestic cattle). It matches the Rfam family "tRNA". From Rfam's summary of the family: Transfer RNA (tRNA) molecules are approximately 80 nucleotides in length. Their secondary structure includes four short double-helical elements and three loops (D, anti-codon, and T loops). Lineage: Eukaryota; Metazoa; Chordata; Mammalia; Artiodactyla; Bovidae. RNAcentral also lists the same sequence under 2 other names. The record is from Rfam by way of RNAcentral.
UCCCUGGUGGCUCAGUGGUAAAGCCAUCUGCCUGCUAAUGUAGGAGACAUGGGUUCAAUUCCUGACCAGGGGA